Molecule: ribosomal RNA, 2040 nt
Filed under: Triticum aestivum (bread wheat)
Lineage: Eukaryota; Viridiplantae; Streptophyta; Magnoliopsida; Poales; Poaceae
Description: partial small subunit ribosomal RNA
Source: RNAcentral
AUGAACGCCCUCCUCCGCAUGCAGGCUGAAGCCGAGGAGGAUACGGUGGACCACUUUGUCCGGGAGUGGCUGAAGCAGCUCCGGGAGGUGGGCUACGACGCCCAGGACUGCGUCGAUCUCUAUUUGUUCCGCGUGAGGACCAGGUCCGGCGACCGCCUCAUCGUCGGGUGCAAGCGACGGAUUAAGACGCUUUGGUGUCGCCAUUACCUCGCCGCUGAUAUCAGGGCCCUCCGCACCCAUGCUGCCGCCAUCAACGAGCAACAUGCUCGUUAUGGCGUCAGCCUCGAGUCACUGCGCCGUCCUCCUUCCAAUAUGCCAACGGUCCGGGCGUCGGCGCAUGUGUUCCACCUCCACCAUGCCGACGACCCUCACAGGUUCGUCGGCAUCAAGGAACAGGCCAGUGGCCUGGAGGAUAAGGUGAAGGCGGCGAGCGACACCACUGAUGUCAAGGUAUUCUCCAUUGUGGGGUUCGGUGGGCUCGGAAAGACCACGCUGGUCAUGGAGGUGUGCCGGCAGCUGGAAGCCGACUUCGAGCGCCAAGCACAAGUGUCCGUGUCCCAGGUGCUCGACCUCAAGGUACUCCUCAGGGACGUGCUGCAUCAGAUCGUCAAGCUGAAAGCUGCAGAUCGUGCAGAAACUGUCAACCAGCCCCUUGCUGGCAUCGACAGCAUGAACAUUGAACAGCUCCGCAAAAAUAUCCACUCGAUUCUUACCAAGAAGAGGUACCUUAUUGUGAUCGACGAUGUUUGGACCGAAGUAGCAUGGAAUUCAAUCCGAUCCAUGUUACCAGAUAACGACCUCGACAGUAGAAUCAUUGUGACCACUCGGAUAGAAACUGUGGCCAAAGCAUGUAGCUAUGCUCAUGAUGAUUACAUCCAUCCUAUCGCGCCCCUCAAUGAAGAUAACUCCAAGAAGUUAUUCCUCAGAAGUACUUUUGGCUCCAUAAAUGCCUCUUGCCCCGAGGAUCUGAAAGAUUCUAUGGAAAAAGUUCUAAAAAGAUGUGGUGGACUGCCAUUGGCCAUUGUAAGCAUUGGCAGCCUUUUGGCAGGCUACAGAUCUCCUGAAAGCAAAUAUAUGUGGGAAACAGUUCUGAAAUCACUUGGUUCACAGAUAGAUAACCACCCUACCCUUGAGGGGAUGAGACGGAUAAUCACACUUAGCUACGACCACCUACCUCAUCACCUCAAGAAUUGCAUGAUGUAUCUCAGCAUAUUCCCGGAGGACUUUUUGAUUGCCAAGGAUAGGUUACUGAGGAGAUGGAUUUCCGAAGGAUUGGUUGCUGAGAAGCGGGGGUUGACCCUAAUGGAGAUUGCAGAAGGCUACUUCAAUGAGUUGGUGAGUAGAAGCAUGAUUGAUCGGGCUGCAGAUAGAGUGACCGAUACUGAUGGGAGGGAGCAGAUGUGUCGUGUGCACGACAUGAUGCUUGAGGUCAUGGUGUCCAAAUCCCUUGAGGCUAACUUUGUAAGCCUGUUAGGUGAGGCGUACGAAGGGAUGUCAUAUGAUAGGGUUCGCCGCCUCUCCAUCCAUGGUGGAGAGCAUGGCAGGAAAAAUGAAAUCAAGGGGAUGAAUGUAAAACAUGUCCGAUCACUUAGUAUGUUUGCACUUGAUGGGCACAAUUUGCUUAAUCAGCUAGAUGAGUUCACCUUGCUGAGGGUACUUGAUCUGGAAAACUGCAGGGGCCUAGGAAAAAGUCAAAUGGAUUAUAUCUGCAGAAUGUACCUUCUAAGGUUCUUGAAUUUGAAAGGAACAGAUGUCAGUGUGAUUCCUUCCAAAAUUGAUCAGCUAGAGCAUUUGCAGACACUUGAUGUACGUGCCACACGCCUUGAAGAUCUACCAAAAACUGUGACAAAUCUGGAGAAACUUGAGAGCCUGCUGUACUCCAACAAGGAGAGAUACUGGGAUUUCCAUUGGGAAGCGCCAAAGGGCCUAAGAAAAAUGAAGGCUCUACGGAAGGUGAAUAAUUUGACCGUCAGAUCCAACAUUGAUGUUAUUGAGGAGAUCGGCGAGCUAGAACAAUUGGAAGAAUUAGAUAUCUCUGUU